This is a long non-coding RNA of Penaeus chinensis, 520 nucleotides long. RefSeq lists it as uncharacterized. Lineage: Eukaryota; Metazoa; Arthropoda; Malacostraca; Decapoda; Penaeidae. The record is from RefSeq and is a predicted model, not a curated record. The transcript is spliced from 2 exons.
GCUGUGUCAUGUGGCGGACAGCGAUCCUGCCCGUCUAGCUAUACCCAGUUUCAGAAACAUAUACCCAUAUCCAUCCCACUUUAAACCUCACCCCCCUGGAAAAGGAACAUUCAAUGCGUGUUUUGAAAGAUGUGUAAAAAGGUUUUGAGAACGAGGUGUUGAACUCCGCUCGUGGAGUAUGUCAGCUCUCAUGCACACUCGGGAAAAAGGCUAAUGUUUUGAUCUCAGUGCAAGGGAUGCUGCAUCGCCCCGCCUCGAAGGAUUCUCGGCAGGCUGCAGGCGAAAUUUUACCCUCGACAUCAGCUGAUUACUGACCUCCUUCGGCAUCCAGAUCACGUCUUCAUGAUUGCUUGCCGUCUGCAACAUCCGCUACGUUAAAGAAUUGCAGAAAAAUGGUAUGACGAGAGAGAGAGAGAUAGAGAGAAAGAGAAGGAGAGAGAGAGAAAGAAGGAGAGAGGAAGAGACAAAGAGCAAGAGAGGGUAAGAAUCUCGGUGAUUACUGGCGGAAAAUAGAGAGAAA